Molecule: ribosomal RNA, 164 nt
Filed under: Senecio deltoideus
Lineage: Eukaryota; Viridiplantae; Streptophyta; Magnoliopsida; Asterales; Asteraceae
Description: 5.8S ribosomal RNA
Rfam family: 5.8S ribosomal RNA
About the family: 5.8S ribosomal RNA (5.8S rRNA) is a component of the large subunit of the eukaryotic ribosome. It is transcribed by RNA polymerase I as part of the 45S precursor that also contains 18S and 28S rRNA.
Source: RNAcentral
CAAACGACUCUCGGCAACGGAUAUCUCGGCUCAUGCAUCGAUGAAGAACGUAGCAAAAUGCGAUACUUGGUGUGAAUUGCAGAAUCCCGUGAACCAUCGAGUUUUUGAACGCAAGUUGCGCCCGAAGCCUUUUGGCCAAGGGCACGUCUGCCUGGGCGUCACAC